GCCUUCCUCGUGUAACGGUUAGCAUACUCGGCCCGUAAUCGAUAGGUCUAGGUUCGAGUCCCGGCGAGGGCA
This 72-nucleotide transfer RNA is filed under the name Stegodyphus mimosarum. It matches the Rfam family "tRNA". From Rfam's summary of the family: Transfer RNA (tRNA) molecules are approximately 80 nucleotides in length. Their secondary structure includes four short double-helical elements and three loops (D, anti-codon, and T loops). Lineage: Eukaryota; Metazoa; Arthropoda; Arachnida; Araneae; Eresidae. The record is from Rfam by way of RNAcentral.